AUUCUUUUCCUUUGCUGGUGCAACCUUGGCAGCUGUAGAGCGUUCGGACUUGGAGAAAUUGAUCAAAAUUUGCAUAAGAACUGUAACAACAGCCAUGAGAGCAGCUGAAAUUGCAACACCCUUCCAUGACGACAAUAAGGCAGUUGCUUGUAAAAUUUUUAUGGUUCCUAAGAUAAGAAUGCAUGCCCAAGAUGCAACAACCUGAUAUUCAGGAGAAAAAAGAGUUAUUUCAUAUACAAAUAGAACCAAAAUAUACACAAAUUCCAAGGCAGUUGCUUGUAAAAAUUUUAUGGUUCCUAAGAUAAGAAUGCAUGCCCAAGAUGCAACAACCUGAU
Molecule: long non-coding RNA, 335 nt
Filed under: Nicotiana benthamiana
Lineage: Eukaryota; Viridiplantae; Streptophyta; Magnoliopsida; Solanales; Solanaceae
Description: long non-coding RNA (NBEN_LNC032184)
Source: RNAcentral